RNAcentral lists this ribosomal RNA (440 nucleotides) under uncultured bacterium. RNAcentral's name for it is "partial 16S ribosomal RNA". It matches the Rfam family "Bacterial small subunit ribosomal RNA", at positions 338 to 795 of the family's 1533-position model. The record is from RNAcentral.
CCUACGGGAGGCAGCAGUGGGGGAUAUUGCACAAUGGGGGGAACCCUGAUGCAGCGACGCCGCGUGGGUGAAGAAGCGCCUCGGCGCGUAAAGCCCUGUCAGCAGGGAAGAAAAUGACGGUACCUGAAGAAGAAGCCCCGGCUAACUACGUGCCAGCAGCCGCGGUAAUACGUAGGGGGCAAGCGUUAUCCGGAUUUACUGGGUGGAAAGGGGGCGCAGACGGCGAUGCAAGCCAGGAGUGAACGCCCGGGGCCCAACCCCGGGACUGCUCUUGGAACUGCGUGGCUGGAGUGCAGGAGGGGGAGGCGGAAUUCCUGGUGUAGCGGUGAAAUGCGUAGAUAUCAGGAGGAACACCGGUGGCGAAGGCGGCCUGCUGGACUGCAACUGACGUUGAGGCCCGAAAGCGUGGGGAGCAAACAGGAUUAGAUACCCUAGUAGUC